Long non-coding RNA from Bombus pyrosoma, 7581 nucleotides. RefSeq lists it as uncharacterized. The transcript has 4 exons. NCBI's taxonomy places the organism in Eukaryota, Metazoa, Arthropoda, Insecta, Hymenoptera, Apidae. The record is from RefSeq and is a predicted model, not a curated record.
AACAAAGGCGAUUGGCUACUUUGGCUUACCGUUGUGCUCUCGAACCUCGCGAAUGUAGUUGUUAGUCCAAUGUAAUAUUUGGUAGAAACAGCGUGAGAUGCAGUGAAACAAGAAAAUAGACAGGACAGAAAACGAAAAUACAGAAAGAUAAAUACAUAUCAGAGUUUUAGCCUGCGAAUGGUCAGACGGGAUUUCGUGAGAAUGAGUAAUCCAAACGUUCAAGGAUAGCUGGCUGCUCGAAGUCACGUAGCUAUCGAGUGACACAGGAUCGAAUUUUCGGAAGACGCGUGGGAGAGUUUAGACGUGACAAGUAAUCCGAAUACGUUUACCAAAAAACAGGAAUAUUGUUCCCAGAGAAUUUGGCCGCAGCAUGUCGACUAAAAUACCUUCUGCUGAAUGCAUUGUGAAUGCCUCGUCUACACUCACAGAGCUGUCCAGCUGGACAAAUUGUAAAGUACAAAUUAAAUAAUAAGAAAAAAAACUCACAGAUACUGUCUGUAGAUGAUAGUCUUCGUACAAUGUCCGCUGCUAGUCGUUGGAUCAUGUAUGCAGACUGUCUGCACACGAUGUCGUUUAUCUACUGCAGUCUAAAGUCUAAUGAGGGUGCCGGCUACUUGUGAUUUUGUAUCAGCCGACCUUUUGCACGACCAUAACCGUCCCAGCCCAUUAUUUCGGAUACCCGCACACCCCUAUAACCUGUCCAACGAGACGAGAAAGUGGACAUAAACGAAAUGUAAUACCUGCAGCCACGGCAAUUGCACCUAAUUAGUGUCUCCGGUUAUGUCUCUUUUUUCUCUAAGACUGUCAGUAGAUAGCGGAUUUCUAUGGAUUUGUGGGAAAUUUUACAAUACAACAUUGCACAGAAUGCACAUAAUAUGAAGAAAUGUAUGAAAUGUACAAAGCAUAACACUUUCUAUAAUGCUUGACAGAAAGUUGGUUCGAAAAUAGAAUGGAACGCGAGAAUUGUUGCCGAACCGGUGGCGAAAGAAAGAAAAUCAAAACAAAACCUGCCAGCGUAAGGACGAUUAAAUUGAACUGCACGUUGUCGUUUCCACGUUCUUUCAACAUCUGUCCAUAGUCGUUGUCCCUUAUUUUCUAUCGCAAUGGAAACUUACAUUUUACCCGCUGUUAUCUCCCGAUUUUUCUCCAACAACGUACACAGAUUGACUGCGGAAAUAUGUCUACGGACAAUUGUCUGUCAGUGUAGACGAGGCUGAAGACGUAAAGGUACGCGUCCACUUGAAGGUAAAACUAUCGCGAGCUGCUCUCCAGAGUCACUCGCGACAAAUGCUAUCGAGUGUAACUCGCGAUAGAUUUACUUUCAAGUGGCGUCGUAUCUUCAAAGUACUUCAGAACCUGAGAACAUAACGAAGUGGGAGAUUGAAGUUGUUGAAAGUGGAUCUAGUUAAAAACGAUUUUAUGAUUAGAUGCGUAAAAUUAUUGGAUGAAACUUUUAAUACAAAAAAAAUAUCAUUACGAUUAAUCAUAUUAAUAUUUAAACACGGAAAUAUCUCUCCAAUUGUUGCUAUUUGUAUAGACAUAUAAGAGUUACUGUUAGGGAGAAAUUAUUUACUUUCGAGCUACAGGAAAUGGUUCAUAUUUUCGUAGAAUAAGCAGUAAGAUAUUCAAAUCAUCCUCUUUUACACAAAGCAACAAAUACAUGGAUAGAAUAACAGGAAACCUGAGCAAUUGGUAAGAGAACUGAGUUGUCAUAAAAACCAUAGAAACGUUGUUACCACAGAUAUCUGUAUAUAUGCUGUAGAUCCUGGGUUUUACGUUUAUUGUUCAAGUGUAAUUUAGGCUUAAGACAAUUGAUUGUAUCCAAAAACUACAACGUAUGAAUGGAGAAAUAAAUAUAUAUAUAUAAUAUACAAGGUGAGUCAGAACAUGUGAGAAGCGCGGCAGGGACUGAAUCAGCAAGCUAAAAUAAGCAGGAAAGUUCACAUAAAUACAUAUUCGAUAUGAUUUAGGUUUCGAAUCACAGUUUAUUUUGUGAUACUAAACACUAUUUAGAUCAACGAUUUCCUGCCACAGGGAUAGGCCGUACUAUCUAUGCUUAUUUCCUGAUCAGCUUUCCAGACCUGAAUCAAUCCGAUCAUUAGUUAUGAAGGCAUUUAAAAUCUCUUGUUCAUAAAAUGUCAAUUGACAAGGUUGAAACUCUUUAUGAAACUCAACAUGACGACCAAAUUCGCUAACGUGUCCGUGUAAGCUGUUCGAACAAGUUGGACAAUCUAUGAUGCGAUGCAUUCGCAUGUCUAUCGAAGCUGGACCUGGUCACUUGGAGUAAUUUCUCUGAAGCUCAGCCUGGAUACGCGGAUAGAGCCGAAUAUUAAAACGCGAGGAACUGUAUAUAAAUAAUUGUUACGUAAACUUUUCUGCAUUAAUAUUACGUAGCUAGAUAUUACGAAUAUUACGGAGCGUGAAAGAAAAGGAGAGGAACUGAUAAGGAAGUACAAGCCGGCUGUAUAGAACGUCACGUCAGUAGGCAGGCUAAGUAACAAGCCCACUUUAUUACACGGCGCCUUACAUUUAUGUGCCUCCUAGAGUUGAAGUAACCACGCAACGCUUUUAGCUGCCUCGUUCGUCCUUCUUCCCUUAUUUUCUUUCGCCCCCGUCUAACUUCCCUCCUGGUUCCACUGGAAUCUUUUUCACUAUUUCGCCUCUAUUACGAUAUCGUGAUGUUGUGCGACUCCCUCAUUAGCAAGGCGUUAGAUGCUCCAAUUACUUAAGAGUUCUCGUUUGGAACUUGGCGAAGUUGCUCAAGACUGCCAAUUUAUUCCAUCUCACGGUUUUGAUAGCGUAUUUCUAGAGUUACUCUCGCUCAUUCACACGUAUCACUGUCUACUUAAAAAAUUAAUUAACCGGAUCUAACACGCGAAAGCAGAAGAAGGAAAUUAAUUAAAUCAAUCUGUGAAAUCACAGCGAUUCUGUCUUGAUUCUGAUCUGUCGAAUAGACAUAGUGAUGACCGUAAGGAUAUUCUGUGCUACUAAUGCAAAUUCGAACAUUUCAGUAUACGUACGUGUAAAUGUGACAGUAAACCCUGUGUUUGCUAAUGUUUGUUCAUACACAGAGUAUUCGUUUCGCUUAAUAAACAUUAAUAAUUUUAGACGUACACGUGAACAGUCAACAACUUUCCCUAAACGAAUUUUAUCGUGUAAAGAUAUGUUACAUCAUUGAUAUAUUUCUGGAAUUUGAAUUUAAGGAAAUAAGACAAUACUUUUAGUUCUGAUCGAUUUCUUUGAUCCUUCUUACUUGAUUCUUUCUACAAUAUCGAGAAGAAACAACUAUAAUUUUGUAUUUGAUAAAAAUAGGAAACUAGACAAGGAGAAACAACGAUAUGAUCCGAAUAAACCGGUUGAUUAAGGAAAAUAUAGUUUAGAAAUUACUCUAAUGGCUAUUGCAAUAUCUUAUUGUCAUCUAUUAAAUUACAAUAUAAAAGAAUAAAUAUUAAACUUGCUUAAUCAUGAAUAAAUAGAUAAAUCAUAAUAUAAUUCAUAAUAUAUUUUAUAUGUUAUAUAUAUAAUAAAUUAUAAUCUGUUCCGGAUAUCAUGUGAUCAUAUUCACGGUUCAUUAAAUUUUCUACAUAAUCUUGUUUGUCACAAACUAAUUUCAUAAUAUUCGCGGGAAAUUGCCAAUAUCCAUGCAAUUAUUCACCACUUUAUAGUCGCAUUUAAUUUAUUAUUUUAUUGAUAGUAGUAGUAUGGAUGAUGCGUGUCAAGCCUAAUUUAACCAGGACACGAUACAGCAAUUGCUUAUAGCAGUAAAAGAAGGGAAAAUAAUUAUUACGACCAUUUGGCAUGACGCCUCUAUACAAUCUUUUUUUUAAAAAAAGGGAAAUAAAUUUCAAUUUGUUUUUUUUUUAUUUUCAGAAUCUUCUUCUAUCUUUCUUUAACGCCUACUUAUUUAACGUUAUGAACUUGAGCGUUAAGGGUUUGAAUAUUUAAGAAAUAUCUUUUUAUAGAUGUAACAUCGGUACUAACUGUCAGAAUUCAACAGAUAUGACUUAUGCUAGUAUCUGUAUAACUGACAUCGUACGAGACAACGAGGCAGUUGCGCCUGAAAUAUGCAGCCGGUUGCCGCUCGCAUGACACGUACGUUCCCUCAGACUUUUAUUGUAUACGCUAAGGAAGGAAACGUAAUCUCCCGAAUGUCAUGAUUAUACAGCGACUUGGCCAUAAUUUAUUGCGCUGAUUAUCAGACAAGGGAAUCAUAUAUUACAUACGUUGGAUUUUAAGUUUGCAUAAAUGGUCCAUUUGUUAUAUUGCCAUAGAAUAUGGGGAAGCUACAUGCAUUAAGUAAGCUGAAUAUAGAUUGGUAAGCAGGGAUCAGAAAUAACAAUUGGCUUUGAGAUUUUUUUGAAAAAGCUCAUUGGCAAGAAGGUAAUUUUCGUUUAAAUAAAAGACUCGAGCCUUGAAGAAAUUUGUUUAACAAUUAAAUGAUUAAACGAUAUUAAUUUUCAAGUAGUCCAGUUACGAAUAACCAUUAUAAAUGAUGCUCAAAAGGUUUUUGCUUAUCGAUGACUAUUAUCGAUGGGAAAAUUCCUUUCUGGUUACCGUUAACCAUCAUCCGUGGAGGAAUUUUUGUUCACUCACCAAAAACCAUUAUAAGUGAGAGAAUUUUUUUGAUUACCGAUAACCAUUAUUCGCGAGAGAAUUUUUUUGGUCACCAGUAACUUAAUAAUUAGUAUUCGCUACGAAACUUUUUUUUGGUCACCAAUAUCUAUUUUCCGUGACGGAUUUUUUUCGCUUAUCGAUAACCAUUGUCUGUGAUGGAAUUUUCUUUCUGUUACCGAUAACCAUUAUCGAUAAGGGAAUCUUUUUUAAGCAUUUCUGACAUCCAGUUCGGUCAUUUAUAAUAUUUAUACGUAACCAAAAUCGGUUAAACUAAUCUACCAAUUUUUAUGCUGCGACUAUUUUCCUUUCGGUUAUGGUAAGGUACAGGUACCCUGUUGAUAAGACAAUAUCGGAUCAAAUUUACACAGACUCGAUCUAAAGUAGAACUUUCGUCAGUGCUUACGCAAUAUGUCACGUUUGCAAUAAUUUUGCUUUCCUCGAUAAAUUAAUAUAGCUUCUCCCAUUUUUAAAAAUACUCGUUUCUAAUCGGUCUCUCUUCUGUACCACGUACAAUUGUACCUUAAGGUUUACGAUAUCUAAUACUUAACAAAAUCAGUAGAAAAAUGAUUACGUGUGAAGUAUAGAAGCUAGCGUGGUAUAAUCUUGCAAUUGAAACAUUAUCUUGCAUUAUAAGUACUUACCGUUCUAAACCCAACUACACGAACUAUAAAUGUAAAAUACGCUGUUUAUCCAUUUUACCACGUGCUUAUUAAAAUUUCCAAUGUUCCUACAUACUUACUUGCUCCGUUACGUAGCCACGUGUUUAGUUAUAUAUACUUUUCCAGCACAUAGUGAUCGUACAUAUUGUUACAAAAACAGCGGCUAUUAAAAAGGUAUAUAAAUAUAUCAUAGAACAAUGUGCUUCAAGCAAAUCAAACAAGAAAGGUGAAUAAAUAAUUUAACAUACUUAAAACAUGGUACACUUUACAGUUACAUGCGACACCAUGUUUGCAAUUCGUUAUCUCAACUAAAAAUUACAUCGUUCAAGAAGUUCAAACUUUCUCCUUCUAAUACAUUUCUGGAUCACGUGCCAUCGUAUAAUCUUUUUUCAAUAUUUCUCUGGAUAGGAAAACGCGGGCGCUAUUUCUAUCGUUAGCUUGACAUCGGUCGAUCAUUUUGCUAUUUUUCCAAAAUGUUUUCGUUCUGAUUCCAUUAUUUCCGCUUCUGCGAAUAUAAUCAACUGAAGUAUUAUACAGGUCGACGAGUUCUAUUCUUUCAUGUAAGAAAAAAAAGAGAUUUGUAUCGUUUCUAAAAUAUAUGAAAAUAUGUCGGCCAGGUAGCAAGUUUCAUCUACGUCUUACGUCACUUUCUCUUUUACAGAAAAUCCUAACUGAGUAGAUUUGAACCCGAAUAUUUCACUUGCAUUAUUUACAUUAUGUUAGAACGUGAAUUUCUCGUCAGGGUAAUAUUAUACAAACUGAAUUUAAUAGAAAUCUAGUACGCGCGAUUUAUAACUUUUAUAAUGUUCGCUACGAUUCAGAAAUAUUUUACCAUGUGUAUUUUAUUCGUAUUUACUGCGCGUCGAACAAACGAAUCGGUAUUAAAUUUUCAAUAUAUUGGCAAUUUUUCACCAUAUUAAAAUAAUCUUUCGUUAGAAACAUAUUUUACUUUAAUCCAAUAGUGUAAUAAAAGCAUAAAAAAGUCAAGCUAUUUAUAUAGCGUUUCCUCUGCUUGGUCAUACAUCGUUUUUUUUUUCCAGUCCUUUAUCAACUUCAUGCCCGCGAUAUAUCAUUUUAAAAGUUACAUUUCACCGAGCACUUUAAUGCGAAUUCAUCUUUUGCGAGACUUUAAACGUGCCAGGACGUACAAGGAAUAUUUUCGUCGUAUUACAUCUAUUUCUACUAUCUCAAAGACACGCAAAAUAAAAUUUUGGCAAUUACUCCGUAAGUAUAUAUAUAUAAAAAAAAGCACGAAUUUACGUUAUAACGUAAUUUUGCUCUCCAAUUUUUGUCAGACGACAAAUCAGACGAAUGUUGCAUGUCACGAUCAUUGCAUGUAAUCCGAAACUGUCAAACGAAGCAAUCAGCUCGUUUAUAAUUUAUCAAAAUUAUUUUUGCAACCUGCUUCAAUAUCGAAUUUAUUGCUGCUUUGUAAGAGAGCUUGUUAGCAUCGAUGCUCUGCAACUUCGCUAACAAUACUAGUUCAAUUACACGAGAGAACCGUAUCUAACUAUUUGCAGUAUCCAAAGAAUAGAGAUAUCCUAUGGUUCAAGCUAAGAUGAAAAUCAAGAAGAACGAAAUUGCUGGCUUGGUUUUCGAGAAAAUCGCAUUAGGUGUACGUAAUGUGGAACACGUGAACGAUAUUGCCACUGAUAACGACGACAAUGAUACAGAAUUAUAUUUAUCUUGUGGCGGCAAUUACGAAGGAGACAAGAAUAGUGAAAAACGUAUUCGUCGGGAACACGACGGAUGUACGUCAGGUGCGUGAUUCGCGUGUUCAACGUGUAGAAGACAAAGAAAAUUAAUAUGACAGAAUACAAGUUAAAAAAAUGGAAGAUAUUUGUUGGUUUGUCCUUUUUCUUUAAAUAAACAUUCAUUCUUCUUAAUAAAAAUAGAGCGUCUUUUUCUAGGUAUUUCAUAUUGGCUACUAUCUUUAUAGCUCGUCGCAACACAUGCAAUUUUCAAUUACUUCAACACGUUUAAGCUUUUACAUAGUUAACUAUUAACGUGUUAAUUUCGUUGGAGAAACGUAUGCCUCCCUCUUUGGGGAGCUUUAAAAAUUGGGUGCUCCGUAUUACACGCAGUUCCCUAUCUCUUCGUAGUACAUAAAAUCGUACACAAAAUCUUUAUACACAAGAAGCUAGCAGUGUAAGAAUAUAUAGAAGUGUGUGUUCAAAACUAGCGUAAUUGAAAUGUAGAUAUAGAAUAAAAUAAGAAUUCUAUAGAAUUAGGAUUCUACUUUUGCUUCUAACAAUUUUUAAAUAUACAGUAGAAUUAAGGUAGAAUAAUUCGAAUGGUUUGCAAAUAU